RNAcentral lists this transfer RNA (73 nucleotides) under bacterium. RNAcentral's name for it is "tRNA-Phe". It matches the Rfam family "tRNA". Rfam says of the family: Transfer RNA (tRNA) molecules are approximately 80 nucleotides in length. Their secondary structure includes four short double-helical elements and three loops (D, anti-codon, and T loops). The record is from RNAcentral.
GCCCUGUUAGCUCAGUUGGGAGAGCGCCAGACUGAAGAUCUGGAUGUCGCUGGUUCAAAUCCGGCACAGGGCA